Molecule: non-coding RNA, 27 nt
Filed under: Rattus norvegicus (Norway rat)
Lineage: Eukaryota; Metazoa; Chordata; Mammalia; Rodentia; Muridae
Source: RNAcentral
UCUGCUGCCUGUUGUAAGGUGGAUGGU